Molecule: long non-coding RNA, 430 nt
Organism: Protopterus annectens (West African lungfish)
Lineage: Eukaryota; Metazoa; Chordata; Ceratodontiformes; Protopteridae
Exons: 2
Source: RefSeq, a predicted model, not a curated record
UCUUGAUGUGUUCGUGUUUCUAGUACACAGUAUUUUGCAAUCGGAACCUGUUUUUCCAAGCCUUGCCUGUAUCAGCUUAUCCUCGUGCCCUGAUUUAUUUGUUGUACCGUCUGGUGGCAUAUAGAGCAUAUGUUCUGUGGGUGAACAACAAUCACAAGCUUGGCUUCAGCAACAGAGUCGUCCUCCCCGCUUGUGUGUUGACACAUGUAUGAACAACCUUUCCUGCAGAAGAAAGAGAUGAGGGUUAUACUGGGUUUCAUCCUUUUGAGGGACUGUGGAUAUUUCAGGACUGAACUGUCAAUUGUCAAAUGACAUGGUGCACAGCAACACUGCGUGGCAUCAAAGCAAAUACAAAAACACAUCGCAUUUCAUUUAUUCUGACAUCCCUUAUGAUUUUGUAUGACUUGUAAUAAAUUGGUUUAAUCAUUAA